CAAGUAUUGAGGAACCAAUAUGUGCAGCCUUUCUUCCAUUGCUUCGAUCAGAGGUUUACUAGCAGCAAAUCUAGCAACUACACCUUUCAAUUUCAGCAACACAAAUCAAAGGAUUAAGAAAAAGAAAAAGAAGAAAGAUGGAGUCUUGAUAUUUUGAUUUUUGCUCGUCGAGUCUUGAUUGUUUGGAGCGUCUGGGUCGGUUUUGUCGGGUGUGUCGUCGGCAGCGGCGGCGGCUGUCAUGGCUGCUCGCCGGAAGUUUCAGAGAGGGAGUGGUGUGCUGACGGUGGUGGCGUGGAGCCACUGGCCGCGGCCGCCGGAUGUGAACAGGGGAAAUUUGAGAGAGCAGAGGGAGAGAUGGGCUGGGUUUUACUGAGGGCUGUUCUGGGGGACGGCGGCGGCCAUGGUUGUUGUCGCCGGGAGUUUGAUUGAGGGAUCGAGGGAGGCGGCGGCGCCCCGCCGUCGCCAAGGAGGAGGGCGGUGCUUGGGUUUUCAAUCUAAGAGGAGAGCCGAGAAGGGAGGGAGGCCCUGCCGCUGUCACUCGGCCACGGACGGAGAGAGAGAAGAGGAUGAUGGUGGAGACGGCGCUCUUCGCUGGAGAUGGGCCGCGGCGGCCGUGAGUUCGGGAGAGAGACGAACGGAUCUUGAGGGAGAAGGGGGCGGAUUUUCU
Long non-coding RNA from Salvia miltiorrhiza (redroot sage), 667 nucleotides. RefSeq lists it as uncharacterized. The record is from RefSeq and is a predicted model, not a curated record. The transcript is spliced from 2 exons. NCBI's taxonomy places the organism in Eukaryota, Viridiplantae, Streptophyta, Magnoliopsida, Lamiales, Lamiaceae.